RNAcentral lists this ribosomal RNA (497 nucleotides) under uncultured bacterium. Its description in RNAcentral is "partial 16S ribosomal RNA". It matches the Rfam family "Bacterial small subunit ribosomal RNA", at positions 28 to 507 of the family's 1533-position model. The record is from RNAcentral.
GAUGAACGCUGGCGGCGUGCCUAAUACAUGCAAGUCGAGCGAACGGACGAGAAGCUUGCUUCUCUGAUGUUAGCGGCGGGCGGGUGAGUAACACGUGGAUAACCUACCUAUAAGACUGGGAUAACUUCGGGAAACCGGAGCUAAUACCGGAUAAUAUUUUGAACCGCAUGGUUCAAAAGUGAAAGGCGGUCUUGCUGUCACUUAUAGAUGGAUCCGCGCUGCAUUAGCUAGUUGGUAAGGUAACGGCUUACCAAGGCAACGAUGCAUAGCCGACCUGAGAGGGUGAUCGGCCACACUGGAACUGAGACACGGUCCAGACUCCUACGGGAGGCAGCAGUAGGGAAUCUUCCGCAAUGGGCGAAAGCCUGACGGAGCAACGCCGCGUGAGUGAUGAAGGUCUUCGGAUCGUAAAACUCUGUUAUUAGGGAAGAACAUAUGUGUAAGUAACUGUGCACAUCUUGACGGUACCUAAUCAGAAAGCCACGGCUAACUACGUG